AAAUUUAGGUUAACUAUAAACCAAGGGCCUUCAAAGCCCUAAAUAGAGGAUAAUGCAUCUAAUUUCUG
RNAcentral lists this transfer RNA (68 nucleotides) under Gekko romblon. RNAcentral describes it as "tRNA-Trp". It matches the Rfam family "tRNA". Rfam says of the family: Transfer RNA (tRNA) molecules are approximately 80 nucleotides in length. Their secondary structure includes four short double-helical elements and three loops (D, anti-codon, and T loops). Further hydrogen bonds mediate the characteristic L-shaped molecular structure. tRNAs have two regions of fundamental functional importance: the anti-codon, which is responsible for specific mRNA codon recognition, and the 3' end, to which the tRNAs corresponding amino acid is attached (by aminoacyl-tRNA synthetases). tRNAs cope with the degeneracy of the genetic code in two manners: having more than one tRNA (with a specific anti-codon) for a particular amino acid; and 'wobble' base-pairing, i.e. permitting non-standard base-pairing at the 3rd anti-codon position. Lineage: Eukaryota; Metazoa; Chordata; Lepidosauria; Squamata; Gekkonidae. The record is from RNAcentral.